Molecule: ribosomal RNA, 497 nt
Filed under: uncultured bacterium
Lineage: Bacteria
Description: partial 16S ribosomal RNA
Rfam family: Bacterial small subunit ribosomal RNA
Source: RNAcentral
GAUGAACGCUGGCGGCGUGCCUAAUACAUGCAAGUCGAGCGAACAGACGAGGAGCUUGCUCCUCUGACGUUAGCGGCGGACGGGUGAGUAACACGUGGAUAACCUACCUAUAAGACUGGGAUAACUUCGGGAAACCGGAGCUAAUACCGGAUAAUAUAUUGAACCGCAUGGUUCAAUAGUGAAAGACGGUUUUGCUGUCACUUAUAGAUGGAUCCGCGCCGCAUUAGCUAGUUGGUAAGGUAACGGCUUACCAAGGCAACGAUGCGUAGCCGACCUGAGAGGGUGAUCGGCCACACUGGAACUGAGACACGGUCCAGACUCCUACGGGAGGCAGCAGUAGGGAAUCUUCCGCAAUGGGCGAAAGCCUGACGGAGCAACGCCGCGUGAUUGAUGAAGGUCUUCGGAUCUUAAAACUCUGUUAUUAGGGAAGAACAAAUGUGUAAGUAACUAUGCACGUCUUGACGGUACCUAAUCAGAAAGCCACGGCUAACUACGUG